This 774-nucleotide ribosomal RNA is filed under the name uncultured Neocallimastigales. RNAcentral's name for it is "partial large subunit ribosomal RNA". It matches the Rfam family "Eukaryotic large subunit ribosomal RNA", at positions 23 to 644 of the family's 3401-position model. The record is from RNAcentral. Lineage: Eukaryota; Fungi; Neocallimastigomycota; Neocallimastigomycetes; Neocallimastigales.
GAGACUCUGUGCGCGUGCAUAUCAAUAAGCGGAGGAAAAGAAACUAACAAGGAUUCCCUUAGUAACGGCGAGUGAAGCGGGAAGAGCUCAAAUUUGAAAUCUUCAAGGUUUUACCUUGACGAAUUGUAGUUUAAAGAAGUGUUUUCUGUUGAAGUUUUGGUAAAAGUUCUUUGGAAUAGGACAUCAUAGAGGGUGAGAAUCCCGUAUUUGGUUAUUCAUUCUAGCUUUGUGAUACACUUUCAAAGAGUCGGAUUGUUUGGGAAUGCAGUCCAAAAUGGGUGGUAAAUUUCAUCUAAAGCUAAAUAUUGGCGAGAGACCGAUAGCGAACAAGUACCGUGAGGGAAAGAUGAAAAGAACUUUGAAAAGAGAGUUAAACAGUACGUGAAAUUGUCAAAAGGGAAGCGUUUGACACCAGUGUUGUUUUUCCGAAAAUCAAUUACGAAUGGCUUGAUUUUGUGUUGUAUUGACCUUAUCAGCUUUCUUCACUUUUUUCGAGUCUUUCUUAAUGCACUUUUCGGUUAACAAGUCAACAUCAAUUUCUUUUGUUGUAAAAGAGUAUUCGGAAGGUGGCUUUCUUUUCGGAGAAAGUGUUUAUAGCCCUAUACUUCUACAAUCGGAGAGAUUGAGGUCUGCAGCGUAGAUCCUUCGGGGUUAGAUACAUUUGUGCUAAGUUGUAGCUUUUCAUAGACAACUUGUUGACUAUGUUUAGUCAUGCGGCUUACUCGCUUAUGCUAUUUUACCUACGCUUAGGAUGUUGACUGAUAUGUAGUCGUA